CCUUUCUAGUCGUGGCUUUCUGGUUGGAUACCGUCACGCCGACAACAGUUACUCUGCCGACCAUUCUUCUCCAACAACAGAGUUUUACGACCCGAAAGCCUUCUUCACUCACGCGGCGUUGCUCCAUCAGACUUGCGUCCAUUGUGGAAGAUUCCCUACUGCUGCCUCCCGUAGGAGUAGGGGGAACNUUNCACANUGGAGCGCGGUNUGAUGGANCAACGCCGNGUGAGUGAAGAANGCUUUNGGGUC
Molecule: ribosomal RNA, 249 nt
Filed under: Lactobacillus sp. L20
Lineage: Bacteria; Bacillati; Bacillota; Bacilli; Lactobacillales; Lactobacillaceae
Description: partial 16S ribosomal RNA
Source: RNAcentral